UACGAAGGGGGCUAGCGUUGCUCGGAAUCACUGGGCGUAAAGGGUGCGUAGGCGGGUCUUUAAGUCAGGGGUGAAAUCCUGGAGCUCAACUCCAGAACUGCCUUUGAUACUGAGAAUCUUGAGUUCGGGAGAGGUGAGUGGAACUGCGAGUGUAGAGGUGAAAUUCGUAGAUAUUCGCAAGAACACCAGUGGCGAAGGCGGCUCACUGGCCCGAUACUGACGCUGAGGCACGAAAGCGUGGGGAGCAAACAGG
RNAcentral lists this ribosomal RNA (253 nucleotides) under uncultured bacterium. RNAcentral describes it as "partial 16S ribosomal RNA". It matches the Rfam family "Bacterial small subunit ribosomal RNA", at positions 524 to 776 of the family's 1533-position model. The record is from RNAcentral.